UACGAAGGGGGCUAGCGUUGCUCGGAAUCACUGGGCGUAAAGGGUGCGUAGGCGGGUCUUUAAGUCAGGGGUGAAAUCCUGGAGCUCAACUCCAGAACUGCCUUUGAUACUGAGGAUCUUGAGUUCGGGAGAGGUGAGUGGAACUGCGAGUGUAGAGGUGAAAUUCGUAGAAAUUCGCAAGAACACCAGUGGCGAAGGCGGCUCACUGGCCCGAUACUGACGCUGAGGCACGAAAGCGUGGGGAGCAAACAGG
This 253-nucleotide ribosomal RNA is filed under the name uncultured bacterium. RNAcentral's name for it is "partial 16S ribosomal RNA". It matches the Rfam family "Bacterial small subunit ribosomal RNA", at positions 524 to 776 of the family's 1533-position model. The record is from RNAcentral.